UACGCAGGGGGCUAGCGUUGUUCGGACUCACUGGGCGUAAAGCGCACGUAGGCGGAUUUUUAAGUCAGGGGUGAAAUCCCGAGGCUCAACCUCGGAACUGCCUUUGAUACUGAGGAUCUGGAGUCCGGGAGAGGUGAGCGGAACUGCGAGUGUAGAGGUGAAAUUCGUAGAUAUUCGCAAGAACACCAGUGGCGAAGGCGGCUCACUGGUCCGGUACUGACGCUGAGGUGCGAAAGCGUGGGGAGCAAACAGG
This 253-nucleotide ribosomal RNA is filed under the name uncultured bacterium. RNAcentral describes it as "partial 16S ribosomal RNA". It matches the Rfam family "Bacterial small subunit ribosomal RNA", at positions 524 to 776 of the family's 1533-position model. The record is from RNAcentral.